UUGAGUGCAGAAGAGAAGAGCGGAAUUCCACGUGUAGCGGUGAAAUGCGUAGAGAUGUGGAGGAACACCAGUGGCGAAGGCGGCUCUUUGGUCUGUAACUGACGCUGAGGCGCGAAAGCGUGGGGAGCGAACAGGAUUAGAUACCCUGGUAGUCCACGCCGUAAACGAUGAGUGCUAAGUGUUAGAGGGUUUCCGCCCUUUAGUGCUGCAGCUAACGCAUUAAGCACUCCGCCUGGGGAGUACGGCCGCAAGGCUGAAACUCAAAGGAAUUGACGGGGGCCCGCACAAGCGGUGGAGCAUGUGGUUUAAUUCGAAGCAACGCGAAGAACCUUACCAGGUCUUGACAUCCUCUUGACCUCCCUAGAGAUAGGGAUUUCCCUUCGGGGACAAGAGUGACAGGUGGUGCAUGGUUGUCGUCAGCUCGUGUCGUGAGAUGUUGGGUUAAGUCCCGCAACGAGCGCAACCCUUGACCUUAGUUGCCAGCAUUCAGUUGGGCACUCUAAGGUGACUGCCGGUGACAAACCGGAGGAAGGUGGGGAUGACGUCAAAUCAUCAUGCCCCUUAUGACCUGGGCUACACACGUGC
Molecule: ribosomal RNA, 585 nt
Filed under: Heyndrickxia sporothermodurans
Lineage: Bacteria; Bacillati; Bacillota; Bacilli; Caryophanales; Bacillaceae
Description: bacterial SSU rRNA
Rfam family: Bacterial small subunit ribosomal RNA
Source: RNAcentral